GGGGAUUUAGCUCAGCGGCAUAAGCACCUGUCUUGCAAGCAGGCAGUCAAUCCCUG
This is a transfer RNA of Cavia porcellus (domestic guinea pig), 56 nucleotides long. It matches the Rfam family "tRNA". Rfam says of the family: Transfer RNA (tRNA) molecules are approximately 80 nucleotides in length. The record is from Rfam. NCBI's taxonomy places the organism in Eukaryota, Metazoa, Chordata, Mammalia, Rodentia, Caviidae.